This 253-nucleotide ribosomal RNA is filed under the name uncultured bacterium. RNAcentral describes it as "partial 16S ribosomal RNA". It matches the Rfam family "Bacterial small subunit ribosomal RNA", at positions 524 to 776 of the family's 1533-position model. The record is from RNAcentral.
UACGUAGGGAGCAAGCGUUAUCCGGAUUUACUGGGUGUAAAGGGCGCGUAGGCGGGAUGGCAAGUCAGAUGUGAAAUCUAGGGGCUCAACCCCUGAACUGCAUUUGAAACUGUCGUUCUUGAGUACUGGAGAGGUUGACGGAAUUCCUAGUGUAGCGGUGAAAUGCGUAGAUAUUAGGAGGAACACCAGUGGCGAAGGCGGUCAACUGGACAGCAACUGACGCUGAGGCGCGAAAGCGUGGGGAGCAAACAGG